GUUCUAGAAUGCGAAAAAGUACAUUAUCAAUUUCAAAAUCUCUCUACACCUCUAGUAGGGCAUUAGAUUCUCACCAAUGUUUGCAUUACUCAAGCUGACAUUCUCGCUUCUGCUUCGUCCACCACUUCUCGAGCGAGGGCUUCCUUCUAAGGCAGAACGCUCCCCUACUGAUGUAUUUUUACAGUCCACAAUUUUUGCAGAUCGCUUAGCCCCAUUCAUCUUCAAUGCAAGAGCGCUCGAUCAGUGAGCUAUUAUGCACUCUUUCAAAGGUUGCUGCUUCUAGGCAAAGCUGGGUUCUCAUUCCAAUGAUUUUCAUCUCCUUCUUGCGAGGACAAGAGAACACGAAGAUUGAAAGCAUCGGCUAGGCCUUUCUUUCUCUGAUUAAUUUCCUGUUCAAAGACCAAGCUAAGAACGGAUCGGAGAAGGUUACCAAGUUGAGUAGAGUGAUUUGUAUUUUAAUGAUAUUGUAGUUCACGAUAUUAUAUAGUGAAUGAAAAACUGGCAAAGCUCUAUUGGCC
This 518-nucleotide long non-coding RNA is filed under the name Olea europaea subsp. europaea. Lineage: Eukaryota; Viridiplantae; Streptophyta; Magnoliopsida; Lamiales; Oleaceae. The record is from RNAcentral.